ACGAACGCUGGCGGCGUGCCUAAUACAUGCAAGUAGAACGCUGAAGGAGGAGCUUGCUUCUCUGGAUGAGUUGCGAACGGGUGAGUAACGCGUAGGUAACCUGCCUGGUAGCGGGGGAUAACUAUUGGAAACGAUAGCUAAUACCGCAUAAGAGUAGAUGUUGCAUGACAUUUACUUAAAAGGUGCAAUUGCAUCACUACCAGAUGGACCUGCGUUGUAUUAGCUAGUUGGUGAGGUAACGGCUCACCAAGGCAACGAUACAUAGCCGACCUGAGAGGGUGAUCGGCCACACUGGGACUGAGACACGGCCCAGACUCCUACGGGAGGCAGCAGUAGGGAAUCUUCGGCAAGGGACGGAAGUCUGACCGAGCAACGCCGCGUGAGUGAAGAAGGUUGUCGGAUCGUAAAGCUCUGUUGUAAGAGAAGAACGAGUGUGAGAGUGGAAAGUUCACACUGUGACGGUAUCUUACCAGAAAGGGACGGCUAACUACGUG
Molecule: ribosomal RNA, 494 nt
Filed under: uncultured bacterium
Lineage: Bacteria
Description: partial 16S ribosomal RNA
Rfam family: Bacterial small subunit ribosomal RNA
Source: RNAcentral